RNAcentral lists this ribosomal RNA (486 nucleotides) under uncultured bacterium. Its description in RNAcentral is "partial 16S ribosomal RNA". It matches the Rfam family "Bacterial small subunit ribosomal RNA", at positions 30 to 507 of the family's 1533-position model. The record is from RNAcentral.
AUUGAACGCUGGCGGCAUGCCUUACACAUGCAAGUCGAACGGCAGCACGGGUGCUUGCCCCUGGUGGCGAGUGGCGAACGGGGGAGUAAUACAUCGGAACAUGUCCUGUAGUGGGGGAUAGCCCGGCGAAAGCCGGAUUAAUACCGCAUACGAUCUACGGAUGAAAGCGGGGGACCUUCGGGCCUCGCGCUAUAGGGUUGGCCGAUGGCUGAUUAGCUAGUUGGUGGGGUAAAGGCCUACCAAGGCGACGAUCAGUAGCUGGUCUGAGAGGACGACCAGCCACACUGGGACUGAGACACGGCCCAGACUCCUACGGGAGGCAGCAGUGGGGAAUUUUGGACAAUGGGCGAAAGCCUGAUCCAGCAAUGCCGCGUGUGUGAAGAAGGCCUUCGGGUUGUAAAGCACUUUUGUCCGGAAAGAAAUCCUUGGCCCUAAUACGGUCGGGGGAUGACGGUACCGGAAGAAUAAGCACCGGCUAACUACGUG